This 253-nucleotide ribosomal RNA is filed under the name uncultured bacterium. RNAcentral's name for it is "partial 16S ribosomal RNA". It matches the Rfam family "Bacterial small subunit ribosomal RNA", at positions 524 to 776 of the family's 1533-position model. The record is from RNAcentral.
UACGAAGGGGGCUAGCGUUGCUCGGAAUCACUGGGCGUAAAGCGCACGUAGGCGGCUUGUUAAGUCAGGGGUGAAAUCCUGGAGCUCAACUCCAGAACUGCCUUUGAUACUGAAGAUCUUGAGUUCGGGAGAGGUGAGUGGAACUGCGAGUGUAGAGGUGAAAUUCGUAGAUAUUCGCAAGAACACCAGUGGCGAAGGCGGCUCACUGGCCCGGUACUGACGCUGAGGUGCGAAAGCGUGGGGAGCAAACAGG